UUUAUAGGAGAUGAUAAUGGAAAUGUGAAAGGACUUGAGGUGGUUCGUGUGCGUUGGGAGAAGGAUGCCAGUGGGAGGUUCCAAUUCAAGGAAGUUGAGGGCUCAGAGGAAAUAAUCGAGGCUGACCUUGUCCUGCUAGCCAUGGGAUUCCUUGGCCCUGAGUCGGUUAGUAUUGUGACUAUCUCUUUAUAUUUUUAAAAAUCUGGUGCAAUUCAUUGUCCUUUAAUUAAGAUACAUUUAUGUUGUAUGGUUUGAGCACCAUCCCUCAUCGAUUCUUUUGCUCUUUGAUUUGAACAGACACUGGCAGAAAAAUUAGGUGUGGAGCAAGACAAUCGAUCAAACUUAAAGGCAGAGUAUGGCCGCUUCACGACCAAUGUGGAUGGAGUCUUUGCAGCUGGAGAUUGUCGACGCGGUCAGUCGUUAGUCGUGUGGGCAAUCUCAGAAGGAAGGCAAGCUGCUGCACAAGUCGACAAAUACCUGACUAAGGAAGAUAAGGACACAAGUGUAGAGGGUGAGAACCAAGAUUCCGUCAAGCGGCACCAAGACCUUCCCCAAAAGCAGCAAACUGUCAUGAAAUAGAUGAUCCAUCAGAUUGUUAUUGUUUGCGACAUUGAGCUGAAAUGGAACCCGAAUCCAAUACAUUCCGAA
Molecule: long non-coding RNA, 648 nt
Filed under: Gossypium barbadense (sea-island cotton)
Lineage: Eukaryota; Viridiplantae; Streptophyta; Magnoliopsida; Malvales; Malvaceae
Description: long non-coding RNA (GBAR_LNC012017)
Source: RNAcentral